Vitis riparia (riverbank grape) is the source of this 581-nucleotide long non-coding RNA. RefSeq lists it as uncharacterized. The record is from RefSeq and is a predicted model, not a curated record. NCBI's taxonomy places the organism in Eukaryota, Viridiplantae, Streptophyta, Magnoliopsida, Vitales, Vitaceae. The transcript is spliced from 3 exons.
GCGAAUAGAAAAUCCUCAUCUUUUUUCCCAAAAGUUUACCACAGUGGAUACUAUGUUUUGGCAAAAUGCUCAAGCAAGAUGGAUUAAGCAUGGCAAGAAAUGGAACCAAUUCAAAUUACCAGAGAAUGACAUUCUUAUUGAUUAUGCCAAUGGUUUGCAGCCUCUUUAUUCUGUCAAAUGGCAUGAUGUUGACAUUGUGUAUGUCCCCAUCAAUGUUUGGGUUAGUCACUGGGUAUUAGGAGUUGUCCACCUUCAUCGAAGGAUUAUAUAUGUAUAUGACUCAUUGAUGUGCAUCAAUAAUAAUGCAAGAUUGCAAGUUGCCAUUAAACCAUUAGCCAAAUUGUUGCCGCAUAUAUUGAAUGCAAUAGCAUAUUAUGAGCUUCAUGGUAACACAAAAGUUAACUACCAGGAAUGGGAAAUUGAACGAUUGUAAGAUAUUCCUCAACAGGAAAAUGAUGGUGAUUGUGGCAUGUUUGUUAUCAAAUAUGUUGAAUACUUAAUGCACAACCAUCCAUUGAAGUCAUUAACAAGUGCUCGAAUGGACUGGUUUCGGGAAAAGAUGGCAGCAGAGUUAUUUUAUA